RNAcentral lists this long non-coding RNA (1070 nucleotides) under Equus asinus (donkey). RNAcentral's name for it is "lncRNA (ENSEASG00005033863.1)". The record is from RNAcentral. Lineage: Eukaryota; Metazoa; Chordata; Mammalia; Perissodactyla; Equidae.
UCCCAGAAGACCCAAGCAGCCUGGGGCCUGGAUGAGGGAUUUCACUGGGUUUCUCUGAGCCCCAAGGUCCCCAUGGGACUGGGGAGGGGCCUCUCCUGUUGUCACCUGGGGCCUCCAUUCCCAUAUCUACCACACAGAUCUGUUUUGAACACUCUUGGUUUCAGUUGGAUGGAGAUUUCUGUUGCUGCAAAGGAAACACUUGAGAAUCUCCAACUGGCCUCAAGUCAGGAUCUGAUAUUGAAGGAAAUGAGUUCCUGGGCAGAACCGCUGGCCUAAGGGCCCUGAGAGGCUCAGGGACCCAGGAAGCAGAUCAGUCCGUGUCCCAGGAAGGACUCCACUGCCUUUAAGGGAACUCUAGCCCAUGAACCUCAACACAGACAGUCUUCUCAGACUCCAGUCCCCUCACCUUUCUGUUUGGCCUCAAUGGCCUUGAGGUGCUCCAGGUGGCCUGGCAGAAGGGGGCCUGGGACCCAUGCAUAGCUCUCUUUGAGUCCAGUCCUGCUGGAGUGGAAGCCACCAGAACUCAGCCUUCCCAUGGGAAUCACAAGAUGGGUGAGAUGCAGGGCUCUCCCAGGCCUGCGCCAGCCACAGCCUCCAUCCUCUCCCCGCACCCUGUUUUCUAGAGACAGGAGGCCCUCCGUCUGCACCCAAAGACCACUCACUUUGGGAGGUGGUGCUGUCCUCCAGCAUCCUGCACACAAUGGGCCAAGCUGCCUCCAUGUGUCCCAAAGGGGAUGAGGGCAUCGGCCGGGAUGGAGGGUAGAUGGGACCUAGGAAUGAUGUCAAGCGUGACUGACUCUCAGAUUAGAGAGGAGGCCCAGUGAGGCUGUCUGCUUCAUUUAUUGAGUGACACUUAGUGUGUCCAGAUGCCCUGCACACAGUACGUCCUUCAUAGACAUUGUUAAAUGAACUCCAACCAGAACCACCCCAGGUGUCUGAGUAGGCCUGUGGCCCCUCUGUGACCCUAGAGAUCCCUAAGUGGCUACACCAAGGACAAGCACCAGGACCAGCUGGAUGGCAUCUCAAACUCCUUGACAGGGUGCUCUCCAGGUGUUUUUCCAAACUCAAAA